AUGAACGCUGGCGGCGUGCCUAAUACAUGCAAGUCGAGCGAACAGACGAGGAGCUUGCUCCUCUGACGUUAGCGGCGGACGGGUGAGUAACACGUGGAUAACCUACCUAUAAGACUGGGAUAACUUCGGGAAACCGGAGCUAAUACCGGAUAAUAUAUUGAACCGCAUGGUUCAAUAGUGAAAGACGGUUUUGCUGUCACUUAUAGAUGGAUCCGCGCCGCAUUAGCUAGUUGGUAAGGUAACGGCUUACCAAGGCAACGAUGCGUAGCCGACCUGAGAGGAGGGCGGGCCACAUGGGACAGGAGCCCGGCCCCAGCCUCCUGCGGGAGGAACAAGUGGGAAUUCUCGCGCAUGGGGCGAAGCCAUAGAGGAACACCCCCGCGUGAGUGAUGAAGUUUUUGGGAUCGAAAACCUUUUUUAUUGGGAAAAAAAAAAUGUUAAAUUACAUAUCCACGUCUUGACGGUACCUAAUAAAAAAGCCCCGGCAAACUCCGUG
Molecule: ribosomal RNA, 496 nt
Filed under: uncultured bacterium
Lineage: Bacteria
Description: partial 16S ribosomal RNA
Rfam family: Bacterial small subunit ribosomal RNA
Source: RNAcentral